Molecule: ribosomal RNA, 245 nt
Filed under: uncultured bacterium
Lineage: Bacteria
Description: partial 16S ribosomal RNA
Rfam family: Bacterial small subunit ribosomal RNA
Source: RNAcentral
UACAGAGGUGCCAAGCGUUGUUCGGAUUUACUGGGCGUAAAGGGUGCGUAGGCGGUCGGGUAAGUCGGAUGUGAAAGCCCGGAGCUCAACUCCGGAAUGGCAUUCGAAACUGCCCGGCUCGAGGUCUGGAGAGGUGACUGGAAUUCUCGGUGUAGCAGUGAAAUGCGUAGAUAUCGAGAGGAACACCAGAGGCGAAAGCGGGUCACUGGACAGAUUCUGACGCUGAGGCACGAAAGCCAGGGGAG